UACGUAGGGUGCAAGCGUUAAUCGGAAUUACUGGGCGUAAAGCGUGCGCAGGCGGUUUUGUAAGUCUGUCGUGAAAGCCCCGGGCUCAACCUGGGAAUUGCGAUGGAGACUGCAAGGCUUGAAUCUGGCAGAGGGGGGUAGAAUUCCACGUGUAGCAGUGAAAUGCGUAGAGAUGUGGAGGAACACCGAUGGCGAAGGCAGCCCCCUGGGCUAACACUGACGCUCAUGCACGAAAGCGUGGGGAGCAAACAGG
This 253-nucleotide ribosomal RNA is filed under the name uncultured bacterium. RNAcentral's name for it is "partial 16S ribosomal RNA". It matches the Rfam family "Bacterial small subunit ribosomal RNA", at positions 524 to 776 of the family's 1533-position model. The record is from RNAcentral.